CGUCGAAACUGACCGCAUUCCGGGAGACGUGUGUUGCGUGCCCGUUUGCGCGAAGGCUUGAUUCAUGGACGAUCUGUUGCGUGAGUUUCUUACCGAGACGAACGAAAGUCUCGACACUGUCGACAACCAACUGGUUCGUUUCGAACAGGAUCCAAACAACGCGAAGAUUCUCGAUAACAUCUUCCGGCUCGUUCACACGAUCAAAGGCACCUG
RNAcentral lists this unclassified non-coding RNA (213 nucleotides) under Hevea brasiliensis (rubber tree). The record is from RNAcentral. Lineage: Eukaryota; Viridiplantae; Streptophyta; Magnoliopsida; Malpighiales; Euphorbiaceae.